CGAAUGCUGACAUAAGUAACGAUAAAGCGGGUGAAAAGCCCGCUCGCCGGAAGACCAAGGGUUCCUGUCCAACGUUAAUCGGGGCAGGGUGAGUCGACCCCUAAGGCGAGGCCGAAAGGCGUAGUCGAUGGGAAACAGGUUAAUAUUCCUGUACUUGGUGUUACUGCGAAGGGGGGACGGAGAAGGCUAUGUUGGCCGGGCGA
This 203-nucleotide ribosomal RNA is filed under the name Escherichia coli. Its description in RNAcentral is "partial 23S ribosomal RNA". It matches the Rfam family "Bacterial large subunit ribosomal RNA", at positions 1291 to 1498 of the family's 2925-position model. Lineage: Bacteria; Pseudomonadati; Pseudomonadota; Gammaproteobacteria; Enterobacterales; Enterobacteriaceae. The record is from RNAcentral.